Non-coding RNA from Arachis ipaensis, 1037 nucleotides. The record is from RefSeq and is a predicted model, not a curated record. Lineage: Eukaryota; Viridiplantae; Streptophyta; Magnoliopsida; Fabales; Fabaceae.
ACACAAUAUAAAACACAAAAUUGGGGUUUAUCACCCCAUCAUCUAUGUCAAUAAGGUCUUUGAAUCUUCACCGGCUAUCUUGCUGAUGAGGCUCUCAGUCGAAACUGUACUUUGGAGAUGAGAGAGGAUGGGGCACUCAAUUGAGCUUACUUCUACGCUUGAUAAAGCACUUUUAAUUGGUCUCUGCUUUUGAACUUAGAAAAAAGAGAGUUUGUGGAAAGGAAGCAAGCAAUGUGUUACAUGGGGAAUACGUUAAGCCGGGCCCUCCUAUUCCCAAAACAAAUUAAAGUGUUUUAAGUUCCUAUCUCUCAGGUUGACUCUAAUCACUCUAUGAGUCUCUGCCUUUAUUCUUUCAUUAGUUUAAUUUAAUUUGUUUUCAUGCUUCGAAUUAGUUAACUGGUUCUAAUAAUGGAGGAGAGCAUGUGAAACAUUAUGUAGAAGAUUAACUUGACAUGUUGCACAUGUAACACGGUAUGCACUCUGUAUUGAUAGUGGCUUCCACUUUCAAGUGAUUUCACAUGUACGUUUUUUACACAGUUAUUUAUUUAUUGCAUUGGUUAGUGGUUUUGAAAACUUGUACUAUGGAGAUGAGUAAAAACUUCUAUCAAAUGUGGAGAGAAAUUUAUUAUUCAUAAUUACUUGGUAAGUAUACCUUUUGUUUGACAGAACAAGAUAUCUUUGGACUUACAAUUUAUGAUCUCAACAGUUUGUGCUUGUGAGUCAUCCGUCUAUGAAAAGGAAUUGUAGUGGAGGAGGAGAUGGAUUAAAGAUGUAACUUCUUCAUUGUAUCAAUGCUAAGGAAGCUAGCAUUCCAGAGUUCAUGUUCAAUUCACUCGAUCAUGUUCAACUUUGUUUCCUGACAGGAGAGUUUGAGCUCUGGGAGUGCUAAAAUGGUGACAGCAUGCUACCUUGAGGGCUCAAGAAUAUUUUGAUUCAUAGAGACACUAAUCUAUGUUAGACUACUUUUGGUUGAACUUGUGCAAGAAAUAUAACUUGUAGAACUAAUCAAUGUACUCACUAAUGUUAUUUUGUUCUAA